UGGAGGAUUCUUCUUCAGGUCUCUCUCUUUCAAAACUCAGCACCCCAUUUGAUCUGAUCGGAGAGAGAGAGAGAGAGAGGGGGGGGGGGGGGGGGGGGAAGGGGAUGGUGAUGACGCAGCCAAUAUUUAUAGGGAUCGAUUCUGACUACGCACUCUAUGUCGCCGAAUCCUUGCGUUUCUAUAAUGAUACAUGAAGUUUGUUCGCCUUCCAACCAAAAUAUGGCGGGUUGGCGUCUCUCUCUCUCUCAAAAGCUCUUUUUGCAGAUCAAGGAUUAAAGCCCCCAAAAGGAUUCUUCAACUCACACAAAAACCCAAACCCUAAGUUUGUGGCACCAUCGUGAUGGGUAUUUUUAACUUGACCUGUACAAGCUGACCAACUAACUGUGCAUGUCCUCACUCUUAGCCUUCAGAUGUUUGGUUGUCGAGUGAUCCAGAAGCAAUGAGAGGAUAAAUUGUGCGGCAAUGUCAACGGUUUCACCAGCAUAAGGAUUUGAGACCAAUUUUCAAGCGGCCAAAUAAGUUAAAAAUUCGAAUGGCUGAUUUUAUACACCAGUUUGAUCUUUUGUCUUUCUUGGUUAAAAAUAGAUACAACUUUAUGCGAUUGUUUAGCGGUGAUAUUAUACAUCUCUUUAUUCGUGGUAUCUGAAAGUGUCAAGCUCUACGAAUAAGGGAAAAGGAAAAGCCACAGAUGCUAAAGAUGCCUUCAUGUCUCUUUUGUUGGUUGUGUUUGGAGUAUAUUAUAUUUAGCUAAUUGAAAAUUAGGUGAAAUAGUUAUAGUAUCCCUACCAAAUUUUACUGUCUUUGUCCUUUUUUUUCCCUACCCUUAAAUAAUAAGGAUGAGUUUUUCGGAUGGCAAUUUUGGGUCAAUUUUUCCAAUUGUGCCCCCUCAUUGGGAAUCAUGCAGUCUUCUCCAUUUGGUCGUAAUUGUAAUUUCGCCAUGAGCAGAGAGAGAGGGAGAGGAAGAGAUGUCAGGCCCGAGGCAGAUUUGACAAGGUGAUCGGGUUGGGCGUUGAACUAGAGGAAUACAUACGUAUGAAGCAUCCUUCACAUCGGUACAAUUUCUUCACGAACUUCUUCCUUAGGUCAAUCUCUCUCUCUCUCUCUCUCUCUCUCUCUCUCUCUCUCUCUCUCUCUCUCACUCUCUCUCGUUUCAUUGUCGCGAUUGUAGCAGGGUUCUCCGUUUCUGAUUUGCUGUUCAAAGCGGGUAUGGUUCGGCCACCCAUUCAUCUUCCUCUGGUUAACUUAUAGAACUUUUCUGCCUAGGGUUUCCUAAUUCCUUGACUUUUGAU
This is a long non-coding RNA of Rhododendron vialii, 1289 nucleotides long. RefSeq lists it as uncharacterized. The transcript is spliced from 5 exons. Lineage: Eukaryota; Viridiplantae; Streptophyta; Magnoliopsida; Ericales; Ericaceae. The record is from RefSeq and is a predicted model, not a curated record.